UCCGAGUUAGUAUAUCGGCUAGUAUGACCGCCUUUCAGAUCUUGGCCGGAUCUCGGCUCGUGCGGAUCGGUUCGCGGUAGAGACGGGUUCGAUUCCCGUACUCGGAA
Molecule: non-coding RNA, 107 nt
Organism: Puccinia graminis f. sp. tritici CRL 75-36-700-3
Lineage: Eukaryota; Fungi; Basidiomycota; Pucciniomycetes; Pucciniales; Pucciniaceae
Source: the annotation of a RefSeq genome assembly